GAUGAACGCUGGCGGCGUGCUUAACACAUGCAAGUCGAACGAAGCACUUGAAACAGAUUCUUCGGAUGAAGUUUCCAGUGACUGAGUGGCGGACGGGUGAGUAACGCGUGGGUAACCUGCCUCAUACAGGGGGAUAACAGUUAGAAAUGGCUGCUAAUACCGCAUAAGCGCACAGCAUCGCAUGAUGCAGUGUGAAAAACUCCGGUGGUAUGAGAUGGACCCGCGUUGGAUUAGCUAGUUGGCAGGGUAACGGCCUACCAAGGCGACGAUCCAUAGCCGGCCUGAGAGGGUGGGCGGCCACAUUGGGACUGAGACACGGCCCAGACUCCUACGGGAGGCAGCAGUGGGGAAUAUUGCACAAUGGGGGAAACCCUGAUGCAGCGACGCCGCGUGAGCGAAGAAGUAUUUCGGUAUGUAAAGCUCUAUCAGCAGGGAAGAAAAUG
RNAcentral lists this ribosomal RNA (443 nucleotides) under uncultured bacterium. RNAcentral's name for it is "bacterial SSU rRNA". It matches the Rfam family "Bacterial small subunit ribosomal RNA", at positions 28 to 453 of the family's 1533-position model. The record is from RNAcentral.